RNAcentral lists this ribosomal RNA (492 nucleotides) under uncultured bacterium. Its description in RNAcentral is "partial 16S ribosomal RNA". It matches the Rfam family "Bacterial small subunit ribosomal RNA", at positions 29 to 507 of the family's 1533-position model. The record is from RNAcentral.
AGUGAACGCUGGCGGUAGGCCUAACACAUGCAAGUCGAACGGCAGCACAGUAAGAGCUUGCUCUUACGGGUGGCGAGUGGCGGACGGGUGAGGAAUACAUCGGAAUCUACUUUUUCGUGGGGGAUAACGUAGGGAAACUUACGCUAAUACCGCAUACGACCUACGGGUGAAAGCAGGGGGUCUUCGGACCUUGCGCGAUUGAAUGAGCCGAUGUCGGAUUAGCUAGUUGGCGGGGUAAAGGCCCACCAAGGCGACGAUCCGUAGCUGGUCUGAGAGGAUGAUCAGCCACACUGGAACUGAGACACGGUCCAGACUCCUACGGGAGGCAGCAGAGGGGAAUAUUGGACAAUGGGCGCAAGCCUGAUCCAGCCAUACCGCGUGGGUGAAGAAGGCCUUCGGGUUGUAAAGCCCUUUUGUUGGGAAAGAAAAGCAGCAGGUUAAUACCCCGCUGUUCUGACGGUACCCAAAGAAUAAGCACCGGCUAACUUCGUG